CCGCACCUCUUGUCUGGAUCUCCAGGGUUUUUUCGGGGAAGUCCCCUUUGGGUGGGCUUCCUUGUGACCCGAAUUGGCCUGUAAAGGCCGGAUUCUUCAAGCCUUCCAGAUGGUUUGGAGCGAGAGGAAGUUCUUCUGGCUUAAUAAAGACAACCUAUUCUCCGCGAAUGCGUCGGCAUUGACGGAGCCGUGGCUGGAGCUGUUUACCUUACCCAUUGAUCAAGACUGAUUCAUCCCAGGAACACAGGCUGGAGGAAAGACAUUUCUGGACAUUGGAGUAGAUUCUGGCAUAAGGUUCACCCAUCCUGCCACAGCCAGUGCCUUUCAUUUGACUGUUUCCCUCCGGCUGUUGGCGUUCGCGGUGGGGACUGCCGGCGGGUGGGUUUGGUGAGCAUUCUGCGUAAACUGGAGUUGGAGCUGUGUGGCUGAGGGAAGGGGCCUUCUUAGCUCAGAGCAGCCUGAGGGUGUCUGCCCUGAAGUGAAGGCUGCUGCUUCCAGGAGCUGAGAGCAGCUGGUACCAAUGCUGGGAACAGCCCCACUUCAGGCUGCGCGGGCCUGGUGUGGCUGCUGUCUCUCUGUGUCAUUUAGACUUUCUGAACCUUGUCGACUUGACCCGUCUGUAGAUCUGGGAAGCCUUCCUUCUCUGCCCAUGAUAGUGAAGCUAAUAAACCUGAAGUCCAUAGUAUUCUUGAAAGAAUGAAGGUACUAAAAUAAUAAAUUUAGAUUUCUUUCGUGACAGAAGUUCUUUCUGUUACCAGCCUAGUAGUCUGAUAAUGGCAACCAGAAAUCAAGCCCAGGGAGACUCUGAAGGCUGCGGUGAGGCGGGCUUGUAUGGAGGUGGGAGAAGGAAUGUCCCUUUUCGUAGUGGGACUCUGUUUAUUUCUACGCCAUCGCUCCCUUUUUCCUGAGUGGAUUGUCACCUUUCCGCUCCCUUUUCUGGAGACAGAGAAGGCACGGGCAGUUUUGUUUCCAUAACAGUCCAUAUUCCUGCUGCAGUGCUUUCUUCAGAAUAUUCUUUCAGGUGAGGUUCUGGACUGUGAGAACAACCAACCAUUUUCCUGUUGGUCCUACACUCUCGCCGAGUGCCCCACGUACAGCAGGUGCUGUGUCGUAGAGACCAUUGAACAGAGCUGGCGCUGGGCUGCGGGGAGCAGCCUCUGCUUGACACGGCCACGCUGAGCUCCUCAGGAGCCGUGCACUGGGGGCGCAAGGGAGAUGCCACGGGCCCCUCCUGCACAAGGGGCCGGGUCCCAGCGCUGCCUCCACUUAGGGGAUAAGUGCCUUUUCUAAGACAAUUCUCAGAGCCAUGUUUAAAUUCUUUUCUUAUUGCUUGCAUAGUAAUUGGCUGCUAGCGCCUAGCUGAUAGAGUUGGGAGGAUUUAAAUGAGGUAAUCCAAGUUAUGCUCUUAACACAGCUUCUGGCGUGUAAGUGCUUAAUAUAAGUGUUCGCUGUUAUACUGGAAAGAACGCUCAGUUCCUUGAUUUAGAUGUGGAGAAAAAUAAUUUUACUAAGCACUGUAUUCUGCGACCCCAUUUUGCCAAGCUGUUGAAAUAUGGUCCUGUUUCCUUGGAACUGGGUCUGCACUGCAGGGUGCUGAUGCAGCGCCAGGUGUGGGGGGACAAUGAACCUCUGAGGCAUCUGCUGACCCGGGUUCAGGAUCUGUGACGCUUCUUUCCUGUGCCGUUGUCCCCUUUAGACCUGGAGGGCUCUCUUGACCACUGCCCUUUCACAGUUGAGGUCAUGGAAGGCAUUCUGUGGCCUUUUUGCCACCGUGGAGACGGGCGACGUGGGGGCAGGAACCCCAGUCUCUGGGGCCAUGUUGGCGCUGAUUGCCUGGAUGACCUUGAAGCCAUGGGCUCUUUAGGAGUGAGCUGCUUCCUGGGUGUGGGGGCAGGUGCCCUUAGGUCUCAGACCCACACACCUUGGGUUUGGCUACUCCUUGCACCUCUGGGAGCAGAGUUCACAGCCCCGUUGUUAGUGCUUGCCUGCGUGUGUGCACGUGUGUAGAUGGGUGUUUAGGGAGAGUGUCCACCCUCAUCAUGGUCAUCCUGACCCUCAGACAUCUUGUCCAAAUUACCCUGAGAGCUUUGGGUUUAAAAACCAAAGCCACAAACUCAGGGCCAUUUCUGUUUUCCUCCUUGUUUUAUCC
This 2149-nucleotide long non-coding RNA is filed under the name Equus asinus (donkey). RNAcentral describes it as "lncRNA (ENSEASG00005036066.1)". Lineage: Eukaryota; Metazoa; Chordata; Mammalia; Perissodactyla; Equidae. The record is from RNAcentral.